AGUUAAUUAGCUUAAGAAUAAGCCUAUGUUUUGAAAACAUAUUAUAGAAGUUCAAUUCUUCUAUUAACUU
Molecule: transfer RNA, 70 nt
Filed under: Diestramima sp. ZJZ-2017
Lineage: Eukaryota; Metazoa; Arthropoda; Insecta; Orthoptera; Rhaphidophoridae
Also listed under: 2 other names
Description: tRNA-Ser
Rfam family: tRNA
About the family: Transfer RNA (tRNA) molecules are approximately 80 nucleotides in length. Their secondary structure includes four short double-helical elements and three loops (D, anti-codon, and T loops).
Source: RNAcentral